Molecule: long non-coding RNA, 930 nt
Filed under: Rattus norvegicus (Norway rat)
Lineage: Eukaryota; Metazoa; Chordata; Mammalia; Rodentia; Muridae
Description: long non-coding RNA NONRATT023729
Source: RNAcentral
UGUUUCAGGAUUAAGCCAGCACCAUAUACAACAGGAAGCAGCCAUGUUCCUGCCAGCAACAGCAGCAGCAGCUUCCACUCAAGUCCUGAGGAGCUGGCCUACGAAGGGCCCAGUACCAGCAGUGCCCACUUAGCUCCUGUGGCCAGCAGCUCUGUUUCCUAUGAUCCCAGGAAACCAGCUGUGAAGAAAAUUGCCCCGAUGAUGGCCAAGACCAUUAAAGCAUUCAAGAACAGAUUUUCCCGACGAUAAACAGGACUUGCCUUGGAGGUUGAGUCUGGAAGCAGGACUACAGGGACUAUGGGGACGGGAGAAGAGGAUGUCCACAGAAGACCCGUAUCUUUUGCUCUGUGGAACUUUUGGCCUCUGACUCCUGCACAGUUCCAGGUGUCCCCCUCUGUGCCUCAGCCCUGCACCCUGCUUGUAGCACACUUCAGAUUUCUGAAGACAGUAUGAGCCUCAGUCUUACUGAGGACUUUAAGAUCAGUUAUACUUUUGUUGCUAAUUAGCAUCUUUGUAAACUAUAAGACAUAGUUUUAAUUAAUAAAUAUUGCCCCCAGAUGUAUUUAUAAUACCCCCAGGGGUUUUUAUUUUAUUUUAUUUUCUCUUUGGUCCACUAUAUUUAGCCCUUUACUUUCCAGGUCCUUUAUUAAAGUUAGAUGAGCCUAGCGAAAGCCAUUCUUGUCCUAGUCAGCUCUUCUGAGUAGACACUGGUCCUUCAGAGCCAGUGUGUCACUCCAAACCCAGAUGCAGGGCUAGGAGUGAGUGAAUGCCAGGAUGCCUGUCCUCCAGGGGAGCCUCCCUGCUGAAACCCCCACUGUUCCUUGGUGGGCACUUUUCUUCAGUAGAUUUGUUAAGGAAGGCCGUUUGCAUCAUCUUCAAAGCAUACUACUCUCCCCCAUUUUCCAGCUCACUGGAGGACAGAGCCUAAGA